UAAGUCAAGGAGCUCCCUACAAUCCAGAUGGCCAGCCGAUGGGGGGCUUCGUCAUGGACGGCCAGCAGCACAUGGGAAUCAGACCACCUGGAGCAAUGGGUGGAAUGGGAAUGAACAUGGGCAUGGAAGGUCAAUGGCACUACAUGUAGCCCCGCCCCAGUCUGACCAAUCGCAACACAAAGGGGGAUAACUGUAGGGCAAACCAGGGGGUCACCUGUCUUACAGAGGCCUAAAGGAGCAUGGGAUCAGGAUCGUUGACUUCCUGAUGACAACAACCAACAGCAACCCCUCUGUCCACCUCCAAGACUCAACUACAUUUGAUUUGGCUGAUAUCUACAACAUGGGAACCUUCCAUGACUGCCUACAAUCUUUGUCUAUGUAUCAGUGACAGUGAUGCACAGAAGAUAACCCAGAUGACCCCCUGUCAUGACAGAUCCCUGCUUCUUAUCUGGUGGGCACUAGACUUUGCGAUUUUGCCACUGCCCACUAGGUUCACAUGGAUUCCUCCUUUACAAGUGAUUGUGAUUGCGAGCAUAGAUGACACAUGAGAGAAACAUUGUGUCCUUUGCCUGUACCUUCAGCGAAUGCAGCACCUGGUGAUAUAUUCAAGACUCUUUGGCAAACAAAAGAGACUUCCUGUGAAGAGCACUCCGCUCUUUGGGACAAUAGAAUUGGACCAAGGAGAAGCCAAUGUCUGUAUCUGACAGGACACUAACAAAGCAAAAGAGGUGCCCUUUAAAAAAAUAUAGUGGAUUGAUACAUGGAAGGAGGGAAAACAAGAGAAAAGAAAUAAAAAGUAUAACUAUAUCAACCCCUAGUUUGGGAAGCAAGUGGAGAAAGAAAAUAUACUGUAUACUGUUGUAAAAUUACGCUGGACUCUCACAAGAACUGGGAAUUUAAGUAUUGUAAAUGCUAUUGUAUUGUUCUGCAUAUUAUGUUGUUUCUAAUAGAUUUUUUAAAAAAAGGAUGUGAACUUUUUUCUCUUUUUUUCUGGUUUCUUUCCACACUAUGUGUGUGCAGUCUCUCCAUCAAAUUUGACCUCCUGCCCCCUCCCGCCAUUAAAUCACAAUGCAUUUUUAAAAGAAAAAAAGUAAAUAAACAGACAAUUCGAUAAGUUUGUCUUUGCUCCCAGGCCUUUAUUUGAAUGGUAAUCGAGUGAUUCAGAUGUCCUGUUUUUUUGUUUUACAUACAGCACACACAGCCCAUCCACGUACAUGCAGGGUGUAACAAACUUGUAUUAGUGUCGCUGUGUCUACACCUUGUAAACUCCAAAUUUGGUGAUGUUCUUAAAACAUUUCCAUAUCAGUUGAUUAUAUGUUUCACUACUGGUGAAGAGUGUUUUAUUGGUUUGGACAAUUCUCUAUCCCCAUUUGGGGUCAUGCCACUCUCUUUUAACUCGUGGGAUUAACUCCAAACACACAAUGAACUCAAGCUAAACACAGUUUCUGAGAAGUUAACAUUUUGAAGGUACAAGGUUUUUAUUCCAAUCGACACUAUCCAAUUCAUCAUUUUAUCCAUUUCAUCCUCUGUUCACAUGAGGACAGCCACAUAAUGUUGGUUUCAUCAUGGCUAACAUGACUGGCCAACAGACAUGAGACAGAGCUUCACCUAAUGCUCACAAACAAUCUA
Etheostoma cragini (Arkansas darter) is the source of this 1629-nucleotide long non-coding RNA. RefSeq lists it as uncharacterized. The transcript has 3 exons. The record is from RefSeq and is a predicted model, not a curated record. Lineage: Eukaryota; Metazoa; Chordata; Actinopteri; Perciformes; Percidae.